CUGGGGUUUAAGUUACGAUAAAUUGAGAAGCUUUUGAAGAGAACUGAUUUUCAAUAAUUCAGAGUUGUAAUUUGAACGAAUUGGACUGAAAUUACUGGCUUUGUAUUUGAAUUUUGAAAGGGGGAUUUUGAACUAGGGUUUUGAGAAAGGAUCUAAUUGAUCGAAACUGCACAAGACGAGGGAAGUAAAUUUCGUUCUCUCCCUCUCCCACGACGGAGGAUUCUAACUCCGCCCGGUUCGCGGUGGACGGGCUAUUUAAG
RNAcentral lists this unclassified non-coding RNA (260 nucleotides) under Hevea brasiliensis (rubber tree). The record is from RNAcentral. Lineage: Eukaryota; Viridiplantae; Streptophyta; Magnoliopsida; Malpighiales; Euphorbiaceae.